CGCGUAGGCGGGAUGGCAAGUCGGUCGUGAAAUCCUUCGGCUCAACCGAAGAACGUCGAUCGAUACUGCUGUUCUUGAGGAUUGCAGAGGAGACUGGAAUUCCCGGUGUAGCGGUGAAAUGUGUAGAGAUCGGGAGGAACACCGGUGGCGAAGGCGGGUCUCUGGGCAAUUCCUGACGCUGAGGCGCGAAAGCGUGGGGAGCAAACGGGAUUAGAUACCCCGGUAGUCCACGCUGUAAACGAUGACGACUAGGUGUGGGGGGGUUCAGGUCCCCUCCGUGCCGCAGCUAACGCAUUAAGUCGUCCGCCUGGGGAGUACGGCCGCAAGGUUGAA
RNAcentral lists this ribosomal RNA (333 nucleotides) under uncultured bacterium. RNAcentral's name for it is "bacterial SSU rRNA". It matches the Rfam family "Bacterial small subunit ribosomal RNA", at positions 568 to 898 of the family's 1533-position model. The record is from RNAcentral.